RNAcentral lists this ribosomal RNA (407 nucleotides) under uncultured bacterium. Its description in RNAcentral is "bacterial SSU rRNA". It matches the Rfam family "Bacterial small subunit ribosomal RNA", at positions 121 to 518 of the family's 1533-position model. The record is from RNAcentral.
CCAACCUACCCUUACAACGAGGAAGAACGUAACCCGGACGAAAGUACGGACUAAUACUCCAUAAUACAGGGAUCCCGCAUGGAAUAUUUGUUAAAGAUUUAUCGGUUGAAGAUGGCAUGCGUUCCAUUAGCUAGUUGGUGAGGUAACGGCUCACCAAGGCAACGAUGGAUAGGGGAACUGAGAGGUUUAUCCCCCACACUGGUACUGAGACGCGGACCAGACUCCUACGGGAGGCAGCAGUGAGGAAUAUUGGUCAAUGGAGGCAACUCUGAACCAGCCACGUCCGCGUGAAGGAUGACGGCCCUACGGGUUGUAAACUUCUUUUGUAAGGGAAUAAAGUUUAGUACGUGUACUAUUUUGCAUGUACCUUACGAAUAAGGAUCGGCUAACUCCGUGCCAGCAGCAGC